UCCCUUAGUAAUGGCGAAUGAACAGGGAAAAGCUCAAAUUUAAAAUCAUUUUUUUUUUUUAAAAUUAUGAAUUGUAAUUUAAAGAAGUUAAAUCAAAGUUUUAAAACUAAUUAAAAUUGGCUGGAAAGCUAUUACAGAGAGGGUGAUAUACCCGUAACUGAUUAGAUUUUAAAAUUUAAGAAUUUUUCUUCAAAGAGUCAGGUUGCUUGGGACUGCAGCCUAAAAUGGGAGGUAAAUUUCUUCUAAAGCUAAAUAUUGGCAAGAGACCGAUAGCGAACAAGUACUGUGAAGGAAAGAUGAAAUAGAACCUUGAAAAGGGGUUUAAAAGAAAGUGAAAUUGUUAAAAGGGAAACGUUUAAAUGGGGUAAAAAUUAAUUUUAAUGAAAUUUAUUUAUAAAUUUUAAUUAAAAUUAAUUAUGGUCAAAUUAAAUUUUUAAUAAUAUAGAUAAAUAUUAUAAAGGUAUAUUGAUUUUUUAUUAAAUUAAUAACUUAUAGUAUAAUAUUUUUAUAUUUUUUUAAAAGAUUUAAUUUAAUAUUAUAAUUUUUUAAACUAAAAUUAAAUAUUAUUUAACAAAAGUUUACUUUUAAUUAAUUAAUAUUUAGUUUUAAAUUAAAAGAAAUUUAAUAUUUUUAUUGAUCUUAACUUUUUUAAACGACCCGUCUUGAAACACGGACCAAGGAGUCUAACAUUUAAUGCGAGUAUUUAGGAAAUUUUAAACCUAUAUGCAAAAUGAAAGUGAAUUCAAGGUAGGAUUAUUAAUUUAUUUAUAAAUUAAUAUGCACUAUCAACCGAUCUAUUUGGAUUUUUUCAAUAGAAUUGAGUUAGAGCGUAAAUGUUGGGACCCGAAAGAUGGUGAACUAUGCCUGAAUAGGGCGAAGCCAGAGGAAACUCUGGUGGAGGCUCGUAGCGAUUCUGACGUGCAAAUCGAUCGUCAAAUUUGGGUAUAGGGGCGAAAGACUAAUCGAAGCAUCCUAAGGCCCC
This is a ribosomal RNA of 982 nucleotides. It matches the Rfam family "Eukaryotic large subunit ribosomal RNA", at positions 76 to 958 of the family's 3401-position model.